This 356-nucleotide ribosomal RNA is filed under the name uncultured bacterium. RNAcentral's name for it is "bacterial SSU rRNA". It matches the Rfam family "Bacterial small subunit ribosomal RNA", at positions 331 to 703 of the family's 1533-position model. The record is from RNAcentral.
CCAGACUCCUACGGGAGGCAGCAGUGGGGAAUAUUGCACAAUGGGGGAAACCCUGAUGCAGCGACGCCGCGUGAGCGAUGAAGUAUUUCGGUAUGUAAAGCUCUAUCAGCAGGGAAGAAAAUGACGGUACCUGACUAAGAAGCCCCGGCUAACUACGUGCCAGCAGCCGCGGUAAUACGUAGGGGGCAAGCGUUAUCCGGAUUUACUGGGUGUAAAGGGAGCGUAGACGGCAUGGCAAGCCAGAUGUGAAAUACCGGGGCUCAACACCGGGACUGCAUUUGGAAACUGUGCAGCUCGAGUGCAGGAGAGGUAAGCGGAAUUCCUAGUGUAGCGGUGAAAUGCGUAGAUAUUAGGAG